RNAcentral lists this ribosomal RNA (434 nucleotides) under uncultured Lachnospiraceae bacterium. RNAcentral describes it as "partial 16S ribosomal RNA". It matches the Rfam family "Bacterial small subunit ribosomal RNA", at positions 341 to 792 of the family's 1533-position model. Lineage: Bacteria; Bacillati; Bacillota; Clostridia; Lachnospirales; Lachnospiraceae. RNAcentral also lists the same sequence under 1 other name. The record is from RNAcentral.
ACGGAAGGCAGCAGUGGGGAAUAUUGGACAAUGGGCGAAAGCCUGAUCCAGCGACGCCGCGUGAGUGAAGAAGUAUUUCGGUAUGUAAAGCUCUAUCAGCAGGGAAGAUAAUGACGGUACCUGACUAAGAAGCACCGGCUAAAUACGUGCCAGCAGCCGCGGUAAUACGUAUGGUGCAAGCGUUAUCCGGAUUUACUGGGUGUAAAGGGAGCGCAGGCGGUACGGCAAGUCUGAUGUGAAAGCCCGGGGCUCAACCCCGGUACUGCAUUGGAAACUGUCGAACUAGAGUGUCGGAGGGGUAAGCGGAAUUCCUAGUGUAGCGGUGAAAUGCGUAGAUAUUAGGAGGAACACCAGUGGCGAAGGCGGCUUACUGGACGAUAACUGACGCUGAGGCUCGAAAGCGUGGGGAGCAAACAGGAUUAGAUACCCUGGUA